RNAcentral lists this ribosomal RNA (407 nucleotides) under uncultured bacterium. RNAcentral describes it as "bacterial SSU rRNA". It matches the Rfam family "Bacterial small subunit ribosomal RNA", at positions 355 to 774 of the family's 1533-position model. The record is from RNAcentral.
UGGGGAAUAUUGCACAAUGGGCGCAAGCCUGAUGCAGCAACGCCGCGUGAGGGACGACGGCCUUCGGGUUGUAAACCUCUUUUGGCAGGGAAGAAGCGAAAGUGACGGUACCUGCAGAAAAAGCACCGGCUAACUACGUGCCAGCAGCCGCGGUGAUACGUAGGGUGCAAGCGUUGUCCGGAAUUAUUGGGCGUAAAGAGCUCGUAGGCGGUUUGUCGCGUCUGCUGUGAAAACCCGAGGCUCAACCUCGGGCCUGCAGUGGGUACGGGCAAACUAGAGGGCGGUAGGGGAGAUUGGAAUUCCUGGUGUAGCGGUGGAAUGCGCAGAUAUCAGGAGGAACACCGAUGGCGAAGGCAGAUCUCUGGGCCGUAACUGACGCUGAGGAGCGAAAGCAUGGGGAGCGAACA